Molecule: transfer RNA, 69 nt
Filed under: Marmota monax (woodchuck)
Lineage: Eukaryota; Metazoa; Chordata; Mammalia; Rodentia; Sciuridae
Rfam family: tRNA
About the family: Transfer RNA (tRNA) molecules are approximately 80 nucleotides in length. Their secondary structure includes four short double-helical elements and three loops (D, anti-codon, and T loops).
Source: Rfam by way of RNAcentral
GGAGUUGUGGCUCAGUGGUGGAGUGCUCACCUAGCACGUGAGAGGCCCUGAGUUCUAUUCUCAGCACCA